AUCCUUGAGGUUGGCCUCCGUCACGGGGAUGACGUUCUCUUGAUCGAGGUCAGAGAUCGACAUGUUGAUCUUGAUCUUGAAUCGGUCCCACCAGGCGUGCCAAAAGAUGUGUUGAUGCAAAACUGAUCUGCAAACACAAAGGGCUAAUACCCGAUUCAAACGUUAAGGCGUGCCAGCCGAUUUGACCUUACUAUCGGCAAAGGUGAUAACUCGGAUACUUUAGUCCUGACAACAGCGAUGCGCCCGGAUGUCACGGCUAAGAGGUAUUCACGC
Molecule: long non-coding RNA, 273 nt
Filed under: Sorghum bicolor (sorghum)
Lineage: Eukaryota; Viridiplantae; Streptophyta; Magnoliopsida; Poales; Poaceae
Description: long non-coding RNA (SBIC_LNC007079)
Source: RNAcentral